Molecule: long non-coding RNA, 312 nt
Filed under: Mytilus galloprovincialis (Mediterranean mussel)
Lineage: Eukaryota; Metazoa; Mollusca; Bivalvia; Mytilida; Mytilidae
Source: RNAcentral
AUAAAUCUGUCCACUACUUAAACUAGCGUGUUAAAAUAUGACGGUUUUAACAUCUUUGAAAGAAUCAAGUGACUAGAUAUUACUGCAUCUUAUUGAUUAUUGAAAUGAUUGAUUACCUUUUUUUCUAAUCAUACUCAAGACGGCCUACUCAUGAAGAAUGUAAUAAGGGUUAUAUUUUAUUAAAUAAGAAUACAGUACAUGCUUAUUUUCCGAUUGUAUUAGCUUUAUAGAAACAGUUAUGAAGAAAAACGAGACUUGCAAAACUUAUUUUCUAUUUCGUAACGAUUAUACAGAUCGAUUUGCUAUGGAAAA